RNAcentral lists this long non-coding RNA (272 nucleotides) under Lathyrus oleraceus (garden pea). Its description in RNAcentral is "Pisum sativum (pea) long non-coding RNA (PSAT_LNC025627)". The record is from RNAcentral. Lineage: Eukaryota; Viridiplantae; Streptophyta; Magnoliopsida; Fabales; Fabaceae.
AAAAAGUUAACAUUUUAAAAUUAGCAUUAUGUUGUCUACACGGCUAUGAGUAUUAUCCAAUUCGAUAAAAUAAAUUAUUUGUUGUUGUCGUAACUUAAAAUGCGAAAAACAACCGGCGAAAGAAAAAGAAACAGAAGAGUCGCUACCGUUUGUUAUUUAUCCCAAAGGAGGGAAAGGAAACGAUCGAAGAAAACCUGAAGAAAAAGGAAAAGGCAAGGUCUCGCAACCAAAUCUUGGGUUCGGGAGUCGAUUAUGCGAAGGGAAUGUAUUAG